ACUCCUCCCUGUCCUCGUGGUACCUCGUUUUCGGUCCGCCAUUGAUGAUAUGGUCACUUCCUUCUCGGGCUCCGGCGCCGGAGUGAAAUCCGUCUUCCAAGUGACGAGAAGGAUGAUAAUGCUGGUGAAGGUGAUCAUGGAGGACGAUGAUAAUGGAGGAGAAGGCCUUUGAUGUUGGUGAUUUCACCAGAGUUUAUUUGACUGUGAAGGUGGAGAAGGAUGAUAAUGCUCGCUGUGGCGGGUUCCAGAAAUAGGUCAUACUACUGUGCUGGUCUCAGCAGAGCGGACAACUGCCCAGAUACCGCUUGAUUUUUCCUCCAGCAGUCUGAAAAAUUAAAAUUUUCACAUUCCCUUUGCAGGCCAUCAGGGAAUCAAAACAUCAAGACAAAUUUCUGCUGAUACAGGGGACAAUGAGAAGUGGGAAAAGUUGGUGGAAAAUAGCAGAGCGUGCAUGGGUAACACUUGAGACAGAAAGAAAUAAUGCAAGCCUGAUGCUUUUGUAUGUACUAUCUUGCAUACAAAAGGCCUGCCUAUUCAAUUAUAUAUAUAUAUAUAUAUAUAUGCAUAUAUAUAUAUAUAUAUAUUUGAUUCUUUUUGAAAACUUUAUUGCUUAUCUACUUGCAUGGAUUGCAUCAAUAAAAAUAGCAAGUAGGACACACACAUACACACUCUGUUUUCAUAUUUCUUACUUUCUUUCUAUAUGCUACUUGUCUGACUGGUAUAGACUUUGU
Dioscorea cayenensis subsp. rotundata (Guinea yam) is the source of this 731-nucleotide long non-coding RNA. RefSeq lists it as uncharacterized. The transcript is spliced from 4 exons. The record is from RefSeq and is a predicted model, not a curated record. Lineage: Eukaryota; Viridiplantae; Streptophyta; Magnoliopsida; Dioscoreales; Dioscoreaceae.